UGGGGAAUUUUGGACAAUGGGCGAAAGCCUGAUCCAGCAAUGCCGCGUGAGUGAAGAAGGCCUUCGGGUUGUAAAGCUCUUUUGUCAGGGAAGAAACGGUGUGGGCUAAUAUCCUGCACUAAUGACGGUACCUGAAGAAUAAGCACCGGCUAACUACGUGCCAGCAGCCGCGGUAAUACGUAGGGUGCAAGCGUUAAUCGGAAUUACUGGGCGUAAAGCGUGCGCAGGCGGUUUUGUAAGUCUGUCGUGAAAUCCCCGGGCUCAACCUGGGAAUUGCGAUGGAGACUGCAAGGCUAGAAUCUGGCAGAGGGGGGUAGAAUUCCACGUGUAGCAGUGAAAUGCGUAGAGAUGUGGAGGAACACCGAUGGCGAAGGCAGCCCCCUGGGUCAAGAUUGACGCUCAUGCACGAAAGCGUGGGGAGCAAACA
This 427-nucleotide ribosomal RNA is filed under the name uncultured Massilia sp. RNAcentral's name for it is "bacterial SSU rRNA". It matches the Rfam family "Bacterial small subunit ribosomal RNA", at positions 355 to 774 of the family's 1533-position model. The record is from RNAcentral. Lineage: Bacteria; Pseudomonadati; Pseudomonadota; Betaproteobacteria; Burkholderiales; Oxalobacteraceae.